This 802-nucleotide ribosomal RNA is filed under the name uncultured Chloroflexota bacterium. RNAcentral's name for it is "bacterial SSU rRNA". It matches the Rfam family "Bacterial small subunit ribosomal RNA", at positions 28 to 869 of the family's 1533-position model. The record is from RNAcentral. Lineage: Bacteria; Bacillati; Chloroflexota.
GAUAAACGCUGGCGGCGUGCCUAAUACAUGCAAGUCGAGGGUGACUCCUUCGGGGGUCAUAGCGGCGAACGGGUGAGUAACACGUGGGUGACCUGCCCGAAGACGGGAAUAACCCCUAGAAAUGGGGGCUAAUACCCGAUGUGCUCGGCGGUUCGUUCGUCGAGUAAAGUUCCGGCGCUUCGGGAGGGGCCCGCGGCCCAUCAGCUUGUUGGUAGGUAACGGCCUACCAAGGCGAAGACGGGUAGGGGGCGUGAGAGCGCGGCCCCCCACACUGGACUGAGACACGGGCCAGACUCCUGCGGGAGGCAGCAGUAAGGAAUAUUGCGCAAUGGGCAAAGCCUGACGCAGCGACGCCGCGUGGGUGAUGAAGGCCUUCGGGUUGUAAAACCCUUUCUGGGGGAGGAGUAAGGACGUUACCCCAGGAAUAAGCGUCGGCUAACUACGUGCCAGCACCGCGGUAAAACGUAGGACGCGAGCGUUAUCCGGAUUUACUGGGCGUAAAGAGCGUUGAGCGGUCCUGUAAGUUGGGCGUGAAAGCCCCGGGCUUAACCCGGGGAGGCCGUUCAAUACGCAGGACUUGAGGGCAGCAGAGGGAGGCGGAAUUCCCGGUGUAGUGGUGAAAUGCGUAGUAUCGGGAGGAACACCAGUGGCGAAGGCGGCCUCCUGGGUUGUCCCUGACGCUGAAGGCAAAGCCAGGGGAGCGAACGGGAUUAGAUACCCCGGUAGUCCUGGCCGUAAACGAUGGAUCUAGGUGUGGGGGGGGAAAAACCCCUUCGUGCCGAAGCUAACGCGUUAAGCAUCC